Non-coding RNA from Notechis scutatus (mainland tiger snake), 267 nucleotides. The record is from RefSeq and is a predicted model, not a curated record. Lineage: Eukaryota; Metazoa; Chordata; Lepidosauria; Squamata; Elapidae.
AGGUCAAUUUUCCAUUAUUUUUGACAGGAAUGUCACAGGCUUCCAUUGUCCUGCCCAGUCCUGAGCCAAUACACCUUGUACAAAUCCAUUCUCUGUGCUUACAAUGAGAUGGAAUGGCUUUUCCAAAUUUGGCAAACUUAACACAGGAUCCUUGGUUAAGGCUUAUUUUAAAUUUUCAAAGCUUCCUCUUUCAUUUCCCUCCCACUUCAGAUUCCAAGGUUCAGAUUCAAUUAACUUUGCAUCGAGGAGUUUGACGCAGAGCAGAGA